GCAUGUGGCUCAAUGGCAGAGCAUCUGCUUUGCAUGCAGGAAGUCCCAGAUUCAAUUCCCAGUACCUCCA
Podarcis lilfordi (Lilford's wall lizard) is the source of this 70-nucleotide non-coding RNA. NCBI's taxonomy places the organism in Eukaryota, Metazoa, Chordata, Lepidosauria, Squamata, Lacertidae. The record is from the annotation of a GenBank genome assembly.